This 448-nucleotide ribosomal RNA is filed under the name uncultured bacterium. RNAcentral's name for it is "bacterial SSU rRNA". It matches the Rfam family "Bacterial small subunit ribosomal RNA", at positions 329 to 792 of the family's 1533-position model. The record is from RNAcentral.
UGCCAGACUCCUACGGGAGGCAGCAGUGGGGAAUAUUGGGCAAUGGACGCAAGUCUGACCCAGCAACGCCGCGUGAAGGAAGAAGGCUUUCGGGUUGUAAACUUCUUUUAAGGGGGAAGAGCAGAAGACGGUAUCCCUUGAAUAAGCCACGGCUAACUACGUGCCAGCAGCCGCGGUAAUACGUAGGGGGCAAGCGUUAUCCGGAUUUACUGGGUGUAAAGGGAGCGUAGACGGUCCUGCAAGCCAGAUGUGAAAGCCCGGGGCUCAACCCCGGGACUGCAUUUGGAACUGUAAGGCUAGAGUGUCGGAGAGGCAGGCGGAAUUCCUAGUGUAGCGGUGAAAUGCGUAGAUAUCAGGAGGAACACCGGUGGCGAAGGCGGCCUGCUGGACUGCAACUGACGUUGAGGCCCGAAAGCGUGGGGAGCAAACAGGAUUAGAUACCCGCGUA